This 143-nucleotide ribosomal RNA is filed under the name Cortinarius sp. 1_33. RNAcentral's name for it is "5.8S ribosomal RNA". It matches the Rfam family "5.8S ribosomal RNA". From Rfam's summary of the family: 5.8S ribosomal RNA (5.8S rRNA) is a component of the large subunit of the eukaryotic ribosome. It is transcribed by RNA polymerase I as part of the 45S precursor that also contains 18S and 28S rRNA. The record is from RNAcentral. Lineage: Eukaryota; Fungi; Basidiomycota; Agaricomycetes; Agaricales; Cortinariaceae. RNAcentral also lists the same sequence under 2 other names.
ACUUUCAGCAACGGAUCUCUUGGCUCUCGCAUCGAUGAAGAACGCAGCGAAAUGCGAUAAGUAAUGUGAAUUGCAGAAUUCAGUGAAUCAUCGAAUCUUUGAACGCACCUUGCGCUCCUUGGUAUUCCGAGGAGCAUGCCUGU